Molecule: ribosomal RNA, 492 nt
Filed under: uncultured bacterium
Lineage: Bacteria
Description: partial 16S ribosomal RNA
Rfam family: Bacterial small subunit ribosomal RNA
Source: RNAcentral
AGUGAACGCUGGCGGUAGGCCUAACACAUGCAAGUCGAACGGCAGCACAGUAAGAUCUUGCUCUUACGGGUGGCGAGUGGCGGACGGGUGAGGAAUACAUCGGAAUCUACUUUUUCGUGGGGGAUAACGUAGGGAAACUUACGCUAAUACCGCAUACUACCUACGGGUGAAAGCAGGGGAUCUUCGGACCUUUCGCGAUUGAAUGAGCCGAUGUCGGAUUAGCUAGUUGGCGGGGUAAAGGCCCACCAAGGCGACGAUCCGUAGCUGGUCUGAGAGGAUGAUCAGCCACACUGGAACUGAGACACGGUCCAGACUCCUACGGGAGGCAGCAGUGGGGAAUAUUGGACAAUGGGCGCAAGCCUGAUCCAGCCAUACCGCGUGGGUGAAGAAGGCCUUCGGGUUGUAAAGCCCUUUUGUUGGGAAAGAAAAGCAGCAGGUUAAUACCCCGCUGUUCUGACGGUACCCAAAGAAUAAGCACCGGCUAACUUCGUG